Non-coding RNA from Myxococcus xanthus DK 1622, 139 nucleotides. The record is from Rfam. Lineage: Bacteria; Pseudomonadati; Myxococcota; Myxococcia; Myxococcales; Myxococcaceae.
CGUAGGGUGAAAGUCCCGAGGCGGCAACAGGUCAAGGCCGCAUAGCUGGGGUGGCGCCGACAGGGGAGACCCCUGCGGUGAAGCCCACUGACAAAGCCCCGUUUCAGCGGGGUGAGCGAGUGCACGGGCCGUAACGGCG